Molecule: ribosomal RNA, 224 nt
Filed under: Klebsiella pneumoniae
Lineage: Bacteria; Pseudomonadati; Pseudomonadota; Gammaproteobacteria; Enterobacterales; Enterobacteriaceae
Description: partial 23S ribosomal RNA
Rfam family: Bacterial large subunit ribosomal RNA
Source: RNAcentral
UGAUUCGUCACACUAUCGUUAACUGAAUACAUAGGUUAACGAGGCGAACCGGGGGAACUGAAACAUCUAAGUACCCCGAGGAAAAGAAAUCAACCGAGAUUCCCCCAGUAGCGGCGAGCGAACGGGGAGCAGCCCAGAGUCUGAAUCAGCUUGUGUGUUAGUGGAACGGUCUGGAAAGUCCGACGGUACAGGGUGAUAGUCCCGUACACCAAAAUGCACAGGUU